GAACACCAAAUGAGCCUUUGUGCAUUCGUUCCACUUUCUGCUGAGCAGCAUUGGCCACAGCUUUCUGAGCAUCAUAUCUCAUUUACAAGGUGACCCUGAACACAAAACCUUUUAAUUAGCCUGAAAAUCCAACCUGCUUUAUAUACAUGACUGUCAGCCCUCUCGCCUUCUGCUGCCCUUUGUUGCUAUGGCAGCGGUCUCCCAACAAUGGAGGUUAUAUUGCAGAAGGAGAAAAGCAUAGCCAAGAUGCUCAGAGCUUGUGUGUGAAGCCGGAUAAAUAUUCAUGUUGCAACCGGGUGCUGAAGAACUGCUCUUUGAGGAACUCUUCCAGAAGGAGCAUAUCUACACCUGGCAUCUCUGGUCUCGUUUCACAGUUGGGAGGAGUAUAUGUGGAUGUGCAGGCUGCUGUUCUUCAUUGUAUUAGCCCCUCUGGAAAGGUUAAUGAGAAUAUACUUCUUUUGGAGACUGGAGCUAGCAUGACUUCACAAAACCAUAGAGCCCUUCUUUCCUCCAUGCCCUGUGCUCCUGCAGAAAGCCCAGGCUGGAAGAAUGACUUACAUCGAUAGACAAUGACAUAUGUGACAGUAAUAAAACUGGUAGCAACUAAGGAAGGUGGUGUUUGCACCAAAACAACAACACAAUUGACUCUUCAGCAGAAGACUUGCAUUCUGACAGCAGGAGGGUGGCAGCGUGGUUACAGGACAUGCGUUGUGCCUUUCUUCAUCCCAGGCUCCUGAAGGGAAUGAUAUAACUGCUCCAAAGCAGUUGAUUGUCACCAGCAAAGAAAUUCGGAAGACAUAGUGAGCGCUCUGUAACUGGCAUCUCUCAUCUUCUCUGUUACACACAAGCGAUCCAUCUCCAAACAUUAAUACACACAAUUUACUUGAGUGAAACCUAGGAAAGAACGAUUGUAAGAGUGGAGAACCAGUUUUGUUUAAAAUAAAUAUCACCUUCCCUACCU
This is a long non-coding RNA of Cygnus olor (mute swan), 961 nucleotides long. RefSeq lists it as uncharacterized. The record is from RefSeq and is a predicted model, not a curated record. Lineage: Eukaryota; Metazoa; Chordata; Aves; Anseriformes; Anatidae. The transcript has 2 exons.